GGGCAAUUGGUCUAGUGGUAUGAUUCUCGCUUUGGGUGCGAGAGGUCCUGGGUUCAAUUCCCAGAUUGCCCC
Molecule: transfer RNA, 72 nt
Filed under: Globodera rostochiensis
Lineage: Eukaryota; Metazoa; Nematoda; Chromadorea; Rhabditida; Heteroderidae
Also listed under: 1 other name
Rfam family: tRNA
About the family: Transfer RNA (tRNA) molecules are approximately 80 nucleotides in length. Their secondary structure includes four short double-helical elements and three loops (D, anti-codon, and T loops). Further hydrogen bonds mediate the characteristic L-shaped molecular structure. tRNAs have two regions of fundamental functional importance: the anti-codon, which is responsible for specific mRNA codon recognition, and the 3' end, to which the tRNAs corresponding amino acid is attached (by aminoacyl-tRNA synthetases). tRNAs cope with the degeneracy of the genetic code in two manners: having more than one tRNA (with a specific anti-codon) for a particular amino acid; and 'wobble' base-pairing, i.e. permitting non-standard base-pairing at the 3rd anti-codon position.
Source: Rfam by way of RNAcentral